AGUGAACGCUGGCGGUAGGCCUAACACAUGCAAGUCGAACGGCAGCACAGUAAGAGCUUGCUCUUACGGGUGGCGAGUGGCGGACGGGUGAGGAAUACAUCGGAAUCUACUUUUUCGUGGGGGAUAACGUAGGGAAACUUACGCUAAUACCGCAUACGACCUACGGGUGAAAGCAGGGGAUCUUCGGACCUUGUGCGAUUGAAUGAGCCGAUGUCGGAUUAGCUAGUUGGCGGGGUAAAGGCCCACCAAGGCGACGAUCCGUAGCUGGUCUGAGAGGAUGAUCACCCACACUGGAACUGAGACACGGUCCAGACUCCUACGGGAGGCAGCAGUGGGGAAUAUUGGACAAUGGGCGCAAGCCUGAUCCAGCCAUACCGCGUGGGUGAAGAAGGCCUUCGGGUUGUAAAGCCCUUUUGUUGGGAAAGAAAAGCAGCAGGUUAAUACCCCGCUGUUCUGACGGUACCCAAAGAAUAAGCACCGGCUAACUUCGU
RNAcentral lists this ribosomal RNA (491 nucleotides) under uncultured bacterium. Its description in RNAcentral is "partial 16S ribosomal RNA". It matches the Rfam family "Bacterial small subunit ribosomal RNA", at positions 29 to 506 of the family's 1533-position model. The record is from RNAcentral.